AACACCAUAAAAAAAUUACUAGGAAAACAAUUCAAAACUUUGAUCAAAACCCACAAAAGAUAUCAAUCAAAGAAGCAGUCUUUAAUAAAAAAGGGAAUGAGAAGGAGACCUGGUAUUGGUGGGUUAAAAACAGCUGCUGCUGCAAGGGUAACUACUGUUUCUUCUGUUGGAUUAUUGAUUCAUCGGUUUCCAUUUGGUUAUUUAUUAAUGCUCAAUAUAAACAGUUUCCGAGUUUUUGCUUUUCAUUUCUUGAAAUGGUAUUGAAGGAUCAAUAUCGGAUACUUGGAGAAAAUGGAGCAAGAUUAAAAACUGAUCUUAUGAAAGAACAGCUUGCCACUUUUCGUUCUCAGCUUGAAGAAUUUGCCCGCUAACACAAGGUCAGCUGAUGAAUUUCUGUGUUAUAUCAACGAACUUUACCGUUUGGAGAUAAAAAGUUCGGAUUUUUAAUACUAAAGUUGUGAAUUUUAGAGGUGUUUAUUUCUGUUACGGUAAGAAAGAUGAGUUCCCGUGUGCUUCUUUGAUAUUUUUUUACUGGCCCAGUUGCUAAUUUUGUAAAACUUUAUCGGGUUUUUUUACUGGCCCGGUUGCUUCUUUGAUUUAUAGUUCUCAAAUUAACCUUUGGUUUUGAUGAUGAUACACUGAUGUACAAGGUUUGUAGAACAAUUUUGAUCAGUUCACUCAGAAAUACAGAAAUUAUUAAUGGUGCGGUGUUUAUGGAAAGCAAGGGCCAGGUUGCUAUCCCUGUGGUACCAGAAAAGUGCAGUUAGUGCCUUCGGGUAGCGUUGAUGUUUAGUUAUUCUCUUGAGAUAGAAAAGAUAAAGAUUGAAGGGAUAGAACAAACAUGUUUUUCUAUUGGUUUUGAAAAGGAAAUUCACUUUAAAAUUAUGCCUUUCAUGUUUUUAUUUCAUUCUUUUUCAACUAAAGAUGCUGUGUCUUUUCUGUAUAUAUUUAUUCUGUCAAAUGCAAUCUUAGAUAUGAAUUAUCUUGUCAGUGGCCCUGGCUAUGUUCUUACUUUUUUUUUCAUUAUUUUGUUUUUGUUGCAUUAAAUGGUUAAUUUAGUUGGAAGCUAAUUUUAAUUUUUUCUGAUGUACUAGAUUCAUACGAGGGUCUAUUCUAGAAUUUGUUUUAGAAAAUAUUUAACCUCAGUUAUUCAUAAACUAAUCUGAAGACAUGUAGGAAUCCCGUAUAUAUGGAGGUUUAUUGAAUUAAAUUAAAAUUAAAAAAACCUAAAAAACUAGAAGUGAAGGAGAAGUUCUUGUAUCCAGGAUUAGUGAAAUGAUAAAAUUUUCCUUGAUUAAAAAAAAAAUUUACAAAUUGUUUUUUAUAAAUUAUAAACGGUUAGAAUAGUGAUUUUAAUUUUUAUUGUGCAAUAAAAUUAUUAAUUUAACACUAGAAUAAAUUAAUAUAAUGUUUACUACCUGAGGAAAAGAUAGCAAUAAUAUUAAAAAUGAAGAGCAAAGCAUCUCUCAAAAGCCAUGAAAACCAACUGUGCAAGUCGGCUGUGCAAGCUAAAUUGCCUCUUGUCCUGUUUCCUGACUCUUUCCAAGCUGAUGACACACUAAGCUUAAAGGAAAAGCAGAGCAGGUUCUAAGCAUUAAAAGCAUCAAAAUGAUUCUUUGGGUGCGGCCGACAGCAUUAAGCCUAAAGGAAAAACAGGUGUGCAAGACUCAAAUUUGAGUUGCGUGAGUUUUGUAAAAGUGAAUCGAAUUCCAGUUGGAUGAAUUGGAGAUUUUGUUUUUCAAAAUUAGAAUAAAAAAUUUACCACUUUGUAAGCUUUGUAACCUGUUAAUUAUAAUAAAUACCGUUGAAAGCCGAAACAGAGGGAGAGAACGUAUAAAAUCAAGAAAGUGAAGAUUUGAUGAGAAUUAAAGACAUUUGUUUGUUUUUUGGUGUUCGAAAGAUGAUAGAAUGGGUAAAGCAGCUGAACAAGGCAUUUGGGGCUUCAUUUUUAUGGCUUAUUUGCUUGAUUCAUUUCACUCAGGUUUCUUUUUCUCUCUUUUUGCCCACUUUGAUUUGAUGAUCUUUCUCUUUUUUCCUGCUUUGAUGAUUGUUGGAUCAAAUUUGAUGAGCUCUAUAGGAAGUUGAUCUGUUGGGGUUUUUGUGAAAUCGGUUGUUUUAUUUUUUGAUAAAAAGAAAGAGGAGAUGUCAGAGUUUGUAACAUUGUUGUUUUUGGUUUCUGGGUUUUUGUGGGUUUGUUGAUUUUUGAAUAUUGUAGGGGCUUUGGAAAUCCAGAUGGAACUGAUGUUCUUAAGAAAUUUCUUGUCCUUUUUUAUUUUUUGAGAAUGUUGUAGCUUGCAUGGAAUUUUGAAGUUAGCCUUUUUUGCUUUUAAGAGCAACAUUUCUCCUGAUUUUUGCUCUUAAAGAAAAUAAAACAUAAAUUAAGGUAAUGGGAAUUUGGCUCUUUGGUUUGUGCUUCUUGCAUGUGAAGGGUUUCUUUUUUGGAAGAAAAAUAAGUACUUCUAACAUGUUGCUUAAAAUUUCUAAAUUGUCCAAAGCCUUUCUAUACCAAUUGGAUGAUCUACUCUUGCAUAAUAUGUGGUGUUCUAUUAAAAUGUUACGACCUAGUUCCUCUGGGGUCUUGUUAGGAUUUUGCAAGUAAUCUUCAAGUUGCUGAUGUUUUUAUUAUUGAACAAUUUGAUGUCCAACUUAACAACGGUGUUUCUAUAACAUGUGAGUGUAGGGUUUUAGAUCCUUUGUAUGGACAGCAGUUUCGUAUCAGCUAAAAGACAAUCUUAAGCUGUCACCAUCAGCCUCACAAUUCGUGUCUUCAAUAGCAUUUUUCCCGUGGAGCAUAAAGCCAUUAUACGGGUAUGUUUCUUUGUUCUGUUCAAUUUCUUGAUAGGCCUAUGGUGCAACUUAAAGAAUGAAGGCAGAUAAGAAAAAUUUUGGUGUUGAAAUGCUCUAGUUUAUAGUGAAAGAAUCUGUUGUGUUGUAGGACAUUGGUAAUUUCCUAACGGAGUAGCUGUUUUGGCACCUUCUUUAUAUUGCCUUUGUUAAUAGUAUGUGAAAACCAAAACAGGGAUUGUAUAUGCAUUACAAAUUACAAUGUAGUACUUAUUUGGCAUUUUCUUUACUGAUGGAAAUUGAAGAAUAGUGUCCUUUUUGUUAUACAUAAUUUUUGUGUAUGUUUUUGGAAACUUAACUUGCAUCCUGCUUGCAGAAUUUUGUCUGAUUGCAUCCCGAUAAAAGGAAGGAAAAGGAUACCAUACCUAGUAAUUGCAACUCUUCUCUCUCUAGUUCCCUGGCCUAUGCUAGGCAUAGAUUCCAACUUGAGGAGUUCCCAAUGGCAUCUCACAGUCCUCUUGACAGUGCAUAACCUGGGCUCUGCCAUGGCAGAUGUUGUGGUUGAUGCAAUGAUUGCUGAGGCAGUAAGAUCUGAGAGGUUUGUGCGUGCUGUCUUUUAAAGCAAAUCUAAGCACAUUUUCACUAAUUUGGUAGUUGAGUCUUUCAUCAUUUUUAGGUACACACAAUUUAGCUACAGAUGCUCUUAGUAUUUUGUUGGUUGACAAUGCAGGAAGCAAUUGGCAUGCAACCUAACUAUCUAUUGGUGUUAACUUGGGAUUUUAUUAUAAAAAAUGUGGAUGAGUGGGAGGCUUUCCCUGUCAAUUAUUAUAUGGGCAUACCUUUCCAUAUGCCCAAGAAAUCUGGAUGGUCUGCCAUUAUGUUGUUGGAUUGUUCUCUCAAAUAGGCAAUUUAGUUAAGUUUUUUUAGAAUGUGAAAGCUUACCUGUACCAUUGAACAGGGCAUCAUUUGCUGGAGAUCUGCAGUCCAUAACUUGGUUGUCAAUGGCUGUGGGUGGAAUUUGGGGCAGUUUGUUAGGAGGACAUGCAUUGACCAACUUACAAAUAGACAAGAUUUUCCUCCUUUUUUCUGUACUGCCAGCCAUACAGUUAUUAUCAUGUGGUUUGGUUGGGGAGAAUUCUGCAGACAGUAAAGUUUCUCAUGACUCUGCCAAUUCAAGCAACUCCCAUCCAGGGAAUGGGAAUGGUAAUAUUUUGGACCAAGAUAAUAUCUUGCUGAAGAAGUCCAGCGCAAGUGCUACAAGAAGAAAGAGGAGCCAAAAGAAUAGCAACAAGAGGGCAAGUAUGAGAACUAAAUCCCUGAUACCUGAGAAGGGCAAUUCCUUAAUAUCACGUUGGUUCCACUCUCUGAAAACAGCUACUUACAGUUUGUUACGUACUUUUAGGCAGCCAAUCAUUUUGAGGUAACGACCAAAACCUUUUAUAAUAGCCAGUUGAAUAUUCUGUAGAAUUUGAAGUUCAUGUGUAUGUACGCUCCUCCUCUAGAUUUAGCAUUGUUAGCCACCCAAAGAGAUGAUUGUUUUCACUUUGAUAUUAAAUAUAUGAUUGUCAAUGAUCCAUAAUAGACCACAGAAUGAAUGCUUGAUUUAUUUGAAUUUUGCCAGAUUUGUUUCCACCUAUUGUAGGUGUAUAUGCUGCUUAAUAUACCUACCCUGGUAUCAAUUUAGUUUAUUCUUCUAAUCUAUUUGAUUUUGGGUUUUACUUUGGUCUUUGGAAGACCAGACCAAUGGCUUGGUUUUUCCUAGCACAGAUUACUGUUCCAAACCUCUCAACAGUCAUGUUCUAUUACCAGACAGAGGUCUUGAACUUGGAUGGAUCCUUUUUGGGGACUGCACGUGUUGUUGGAUGGUUAGGCCUCAUGCUAGGAACCUUCACGUACAAUCGCUACUUAAAAACCAUGAAACUACGGAAGAUUCUCUUGUGAGUGCUUAACAGCGUUGAGUACAUUUUUCAACAAACAUGUUUAUUCUACUUAAUGUGCUUAAUAUUGCUUAUGCAGGUGGGCUCAUGUUGGGCUGUCUUUGUUGACCCUCCUAGAUGUAAUUUUAGUGUCUCGAUUGAAUCUUGCCUAUGGAGUUUCAGAUAAGAUCAUGGUUGUCUCAGGAUCUGCCCUUGCCGACGCUGUUAAUCAAUUCAAGCACGUUCAUUUUCUCCAAAGUUUCUAGCUUUUCUAUUAAUUUAUUUUGAAGUCAAUACCUGUAUCCCCCUCAAAACAAAGAAAAAGGAGACUCGAUUUUGGAUUCCGGAUCCAGAAAUCACAUGCAAGCUCUCAUAAGGAAAAAAGAAAAUCAUAUGCGUGAUGUUCAUGAAUGUAUGGAUGAGCUCACACAGACGCAUACACGCUCUCAUGCACCCAUAAGUCACUCCUCACAUAACCUAUCUGUCCAUAAAUCUUUAAAUGCACCCCCAACCAAUCUGUGUGCUCACAUUUCUGGUCUGUCUCUGCAGGUUAAUGCCAUUCCUUAUAUUAUCUGGGCAGUUAUGUCCGCCAGGAAUUGAAGGAACACUAUUUGCCCUCUUUAUGUCUAUAAACAACUUAGGUUCCACACUGGGAUCUUUUGUGGGUGCAGGGUUGGCCUCAGUUUUGAACCUCUCCUCGGGAUCUUUUGACAACCUUGGUUUGGGCAUUGCUAUGCAAGUCCUGUGCACUUUCAUUCCAAUUGCUUUUCUAUUUUUGAUACCAAAAGAAGCCACAGGGAUAUCAGCAUAGGCAGGGAUGAUUCAUUUGCCUGAUACAAGAAGUUACUCACUUAGUAACGGCAAAAUGAGCAGAAACAUUGCUACUGAAUUUAUUUUGUCACUGUCAAGUAGUAGCUGGAAUAUACGAAAUGCACUCUUGAGGAUUGAAAGAAAUGGGUGCCUUUGAUUUAUAGUUCGAUACACUAAUGUACAAGGUUUGUAGAACAAUUUUGCUCAGUUCAAUCAGAAAUACAGAAAUUAUUACUGGUGCAGUGUUUAUGGAAAGCGAGGGUCAGGUUGCUAUCCCUGUGAUCUAUAGCGUUGUUGUUUAGAUUUUGAUCAGGUUUAGUUGUUGUUCGAACAUGUUUUUCUGUUGGUUUUGAAAGUAAAUUCACUUUAAAAUUAUGUCUUUCAUGUUUUUAUCUUAGAUAUGAAUUUUGAGUUAUUAUUAACACUCUGCAAGAAACAUGGUGCGGAACAAAUGUUAAAUCUUGUUUGUUUUUGUAUGUUUUUUUGUAUUUUAAAAAUGUUUUUUAAAAAAUGUAUUUUUUUAUUUUAAAUUAAUAUUUUUUAAUGUUUUCAAAUCAUUUCUAAACACUUUGUUUUUUAAAAAUAUUUUUAAAAAAAUAUAUUUUUUUUAUUUUAAAUUAAUAUUUUUUUGAUAUUUUCAAAUCAUUUCUAAACACUGAUAUUAAAAAUAAUUUUUUAAAAUAAAAAAAUAUUAUUUUGAUGCAUUUUCAAGUGAAAAUUAAUUACAACCACACUUCAAACGUGAUCUUAGUUUUGUUUUUAUUAUUAUUAUUUUUUACAUUAAAUGGUAGUUGAAAGCUAAUUUAAUUUUUUCUGAUGUACUAGAUUCACACGAGGGUCUAUUCUAGAAUUUGUUUUAGAAAAUAUUUAACCUCAGUUAUUCAUAAGCUAAUCUAAAGACAUGCAGGAAUCCCGUAUAUGUGGAGGUUUAUUGAAUUAAAUUAAAAUUAAAUUAAAUAAACUAAAAAACUAGAAGUGAAGGUGAAGUUCUUGUACCGAAGAGACAUUUCUGUAUUAAUUGGAUCAGUGAAAUGAUAAAACUUUUCUGUAUUAAUUGAAUUAAAAAAAAACUGUCAGCACGCGAGAAUUACAAAUUGAAAUGGUUCACACAAAUGGCAAGAAAUUAAAUGCAGAAAAUAAAAGGAGGGACCUCGUUGCAAAUAAAAAAAAUAGUAGGAGGGCGAUUAAACAAAAAGGCUUCAAGAGCGGAGGAAGCUACUCAACUAUCAGAGCCUGGUUUCGAUCCAGGGACCUGUGGGUUAUGGGCCCACCACGCUUCCGCUGCGCCACUCUGAUUGUUGAAUACAAGUUGUAUCAGAAGUUAUAUAAUCUAAGUCUAAGACAAAGUUCGGUUCUGAUCUCUUUAUUCAUCUUCUUCGGCUCUGUCUCUCUUUCCCUUCCUGCACCAACACCAUAAAAAAAUUGCUAGGAAAACAAUUCACAACUUUGAUCAGAACCCACAAAAGAUAUCAAUCAAAGAAGCAGUCUUUAAUAAAAACGGGAAUGAGAAGGAGACCUGGUAUUGGUGGGUUACAAACAGCAGCUGCUGCAAGGGUAACUACUGUUUCUUCUGUUGGAUUGAUUCAUCGGUUUCCAUUUGGUUAUUUAUUAAUGCUCAAUAUAAACAGUUUCCGAGUUUUUGCUUUUCAUUUCUUGAAAUGGUAUUGAAG
This 7180-nucleotide long non-coding RNA is filed under the name Populus trichocarpa (black cottonwood). RNAcentral's name for it is "long non-coding RNA (PTRI_LNC002790)". The record is from RNAcentral. Lineage: Eukaryota; Viridiplantae; Streptophyta; Magnoliopsida; Malpighiales; Salicaceae.